Molecule: long non-coding RNA, 532 nt
Filed under: Pan troglodytes (chimpanzee)
Lineage: Eukaryota; Metazoa; Chordata; Mammalia; Primates; Hominidae
Description: long non-coding RNA NONPTRT017801
Source: RNAcentral
CCGUAUGCUGGAGGCUUGAGACACGGCACAGCGGCGCAGCUCGCCUCGCUAUGUCCUUUAGGUUGUUUGAGGGACAUUCAUCAAGGAAACCGGAGAAACUUAAAACGCUCUUCCGCUUCUUUGGAACAGUCACAGAGAAAAGUGAACUCCUUUCAUUCUUGCAGUAAUUUUUCUUGCUGAUGGGAACAGUUCAAGUCAAGUGACAUGAAGCCAUCAUUCUUUAGAGGGCAAUGACCAAACAGUACCAGCAGAAAUUGAAGUACCAGCAGAAGGCUAAGAAGGGAUCAUGGCACAAGCUGCAGUUUCCACCCUGCCCAUUGAAGAUGAGGAGUCCAUGGAAGAUGAGGAGUCCGUUGAAGAUGAGUCUGUUGAAGAUGCGUCCACAGAGAGCAGGAUGGUGGUGACAUUGCUCGUAUCAGCUCUUGAGUCCAUGGUGAGACCUUCUGUUCUAACAUUCUGUAAUUGGGUAGUACUGGGUGGUAGAUAAGGUUGAUUUGUUUUUGUAGAAUUUAUAAUUUUAUGAUUUAUAGUU